CUCAAGUAAUAUUGUAAAAGAAAGAUUGGCUGCAAUGAAAGAACUAGAAAAUCAACUUCCUGAAGAUUACAAUGAUCAAGUGAGCCAGAAUGAUAUAUUUGCUCAAAUCAUGGGACUAGAUAAACCCGGUCGAGUACGUAUGCUUGGUGAUGGAAUUAGCCCAUCUGAUUUAUGGGGAGUAGUUCCUAGUCGUGGCACAUGCAAUCGACUAGUUAUGGAACAGAAUGCAAAGUUAGAACAGAUGAAUGAACAAAUCAAAAAGCAAGGCCAACAUAUUACAAUGUUAGAAACAAAGAUUUCUGAACAAUCAAGCACAAAUCCUCUUUCAAAUUGUAAUAAUAGUCAACACACUUCAUCGAGUAGCAAUCCACAAGGUUCUAUUCCAUCUCAUCGAACCUUACAUUUCUGUCUCGAUCAAAAGUUUAUUUGAUUCAACAAAAACUGUGGCAAAAGGAGUGCUCCUCAACAUGGAUCCAAAUAAUAUAGUAGGGAGACAAAAACUAGGACCAAAUUGGUGUGAAGUACAAGUACUAGUUGUCCUAGAACCCGAAGAAAAUUUAAUUAGACCUUAUGAUCUUUUACAAAGGUUUGAGGAUACACUUGGAGGACUGAUAGCUUGGCCUUGUCAUUUGUUGGCAAUAUGCGAAGAUUUCUAUUAGUGCAUAUAGAAUAAUACUUUACAUGCUUCUCAUUCGGUGACAGGUACUUGGAUUUUGCAUAUGAUGGUUGAAGAUGGUUGAAGAUGGAAAU
Molecule: long non-coding RNA, 750 nt
Organism: Zingiber officinale
Lineage: Eukaryota; Viridiplantae; Streptophyta; Magnoliopsida; Zingiberales; Zingiberaceae
Exons: 5
Source: RefSeq, a predicted model, not a curated record